UGAAAGGUCUACUUAUAACUAAUAGUUUCA
Molecule: non-coding RNA, 30 nt
Filed under: Mus musculus (house mouse)
Lineage: Eukaryota; Metazoa; Chordata; Mammalia; Rodentia; Muridae
Source: RNAcentral